CCCUUAGAUGUUCUGGACCGCACGCGCGCUACACUGACGAAGUCAGCGAGCAUGUCCUACGCCGACAGGUGCGGGGAAUCUUGUCAAACUUCGUCGUGAUGGGGAUUGAUUUUUGAAAUUCUUGAUCAUAAACGAGGAAUUCCUAGUAAGCGCAAGUCAGCAGCUUGCGUUGAUUACGUCCCUGCCCUUUGUACACACCGCCCGUCGCUACUACCGAUUGAAUGGUUUAGUGAGAUCUUCGGAUUGGCGCCACUGCAGCUCAGCAAUGGGCUUGGUGGAUGCCGAAAAGUUGAUCGAACUUGAUCAUUUAGAGGAAGUAAAAGUCGUAACA
Molecule: ribosomal RNA, 331 nt
Filed under: uncultured eukaryote
Lineage: Eukaryota
Description: partial 18S ribosomal RNA
Rfam family: Eukaryotic small subunit ribosomal RNA
Source: RNAcentral